RNAcentral lists this ribosomal RNA (483 nucleotides) under uncultured bacterium. RNAcentral's name for it is "bacterial SSU rRNA". It matches the Rfam family "Bacterial small subunit ribosomal RNA", at positions 328 to 803 of the family's 1533-position model. The record is from RNAcentral.
GAAUUCAACUCCUACGGGAGGCAGCAGUGGGGAAUUUUGGACAAUGGGGGCAACCCUGAUCCAGCAAUGCCGCGUGAGUGAAGAAGGCCCUCGGGUUGUAAAGCUCUUUUGUCAGGGAAGAAACGGAGUUCUCUAAUAUAGGAUUCUAAUGACGGUACCUGAAGAAUAAGCACCGGCUAACUACGUGCCAGCAGCCGCGGUAAUACGUAGGGUGCAAGCGUUAAUCGGAAUUACUGGGCGUAAAGCGUGCGCGGGCGGUUUUGUAAGUCAGAUGUGAAAUCCCCGGCCUCAACCUGGGAAUUGCAUUUGGGACUGCACGGCUAGAGUGUGUCAGAGGGGGGUAGGAUUCCACGUGUAGCAGUGAAAUGCGUAGAUAUGUGGAGGAAUACCGAUGGCGAAGGCAGCCCCCUGGGAUAACACUGACGCUCAUGCACGAAAGCGUGGGGAGCAGACAGGAUUAGAAACCCGAGUAGUCCAGGCGUU